CUUGGUGUUACUGCGAAGGGGGGACGGAGAAGGCUAUGUUGGCCGGGCGACGGUUGUCCCGGUUUAAGCGUGUAGGCUGGUUUUCCAGGCAAAUCCGGAAAAUCAAGGCUGAGGCGUGAUGACGAGGCACUACGGUGCUGAAGCAACAAAUGCCCUGCUUCCAGGAAAAGCCUCUAAGCAUCAGGUAACAUCAAAUCGUACCCCAAACCGACACAGGUGGUCAGGUAGAGAAUACCAAGGCGCUUGAGAGAACUC
This 255-nucleotide ribosomal RNA is filed under the name Escherichia coli. Its description in RNAcentral is "partial 23S ribosomal RNA". It matches the Rfam family "Bacterial large subunit ribosomal RNA", at positions 1443 to 1701 of the family's 2925-position model. Lineage: Bacteria; Pseudomonadati; Pseudomonadota; Gammaproteobacteria; Enterobacterales; Enterobacteriaceae. The record is from RNAcentral.